CGUAGUCGAUGGGAAACAGGUUAAUAUUCCUGUACUUGGUGUUACUGCGAAGGGGGGACGGAGAAGGCUAUGUUGGCCGGGCGACGGUUGUCCCGGUUUAAGCGUGUAGGCUGGUUUUCCAGGCAAAUCCGGAAAACCAAGGCUGAGGCGUGAUGACGAGGCACUACGGUGCUGAAGCGACAAAUGCCCUGCUUCCAGGAAAAGCCUCUAAGCAUCAGGUAACAUCAAAUCGUACCCCAAACCGACACAGGUGGUCAGGUAGAGAAUACCAAGGCGCUUGAGAGAACUCGGGUGAAGGAACUAGGCAAAAUGGUGCCGUAACUUCGGGAGAAGGCACGCUGAUAUGUAGGUGAAGCGACUUGCUCGUGGAGCUGAAAUCAGUCGAAGAUACCAGCUGGCUGCAACUGUUUAUUAAAAACACAGCACUGUGCAAACACGAAAGUGGACGUAUACGGUGUGACGCCUGCCCGGUGCCGGAAGGUUAAUUGAUGGGGUUAGCGGCAACGCGAAGCUCUUGAUCGAAGCCCCGGUAAACGGCGGCCGUAACUAUAACGGUCCUAAGGUAGCGAAAUUCCUUGUCGGGUAAGUUCCGACCUGCACGAAUGGCGUAAUGAUGGCCAGGCUGUCUCCACCCGAGACUCAGUGAAAUUGAACUCGCUGUGAAGAUGCAGUGUACCCGCGGCAAGACGGAAAGACCCCGUGAACCUUUACUAUAGCUUGACACUGAACAUUGAGCCUUGAUGUGUAGGAUAGGUGGGAGGCUUUGAAGUGUGGACGCCAGUCUGCAUGGAGCCGACCUUGAAAUACCACCCUUUAAUGUUUGAUGUUCUAACGUUGGCCCCUAAUCGGGGUUGCGGACAGUGUCUGGUGGGUAGUUUGACUGGGGCGGUCUCCUCCUAAAGAGUAACGGAGGAGCACGAAGGUUGGCUAAUCCUGGUCGGACAUCAGGAGGUUAGUGCAAUGGCAUAAGCCAGCUUGACUGCGAGCGUGACGGCGCGAGCAGGUGCGAAAGCAGGUCAUAGUGAUCCGGUGGUUCUGAAUGGAAGGGCCAUCGCUCAACGGAUAAAAGGUACUCCGGGGAUAACAGGCUGAUACCGCCCAAGAGUUCAUAUCGACGGCGGUGUUUGGCACCUCGAUGUCGGCUCAUCACAUCCUGGGGCUGAAGUAGGUCCCAAGGGUAUGGCUGUUCGCCAUUUAAAGUGGUACGCGAGCUGGGUUUAGAACGUCGUGAGACAGUUCGGUCCCUAUCUGCCGUGGGCGCUGGAGAACUGAGGGGGGCUGCUCCUAGUACGAGAGGACCGGAGUGGACGCAUCACUGGUGUUCGGGUUGUCAUGCCAAUGGC
RNAcentral lists this ribosomal RNA (1343 nucleotides) under Escherichia coli. RNAcentral's name for it is "partial 23S ribosomal RNA". It matches the Rfam family "Bacterial large subunit ribosomal RNA", at positions 1410 to 2736 of the family's 2925-position model. Lineage: Bacteria; Pseudomonadati; Pseudomonadota; Gammaproteobacteria; Enterobacterales; Enterobacteriaceae. The record is from RNAcentral.